RNAcentral lists this ribosomal RNA (197 nucleotides) under uncultured bacterium. Its description in RNAcentral is "partial 16S ribosomal RNA". It matches the Rfam family "Bacterial small subunit ribosomal RNA", at positions 338 to 525 of the family's 1533-position model. The record is from RNAcentral.
CCUACGGGAGGCAGCAGUGGGGAAUUUUCCACAAUGGACGAAAGUCUGAUGGAGCGACGCCGCGUGAGUGAUGAAGGCCCUACGGGUUGUAAAACUCUGUCAGGAGAGAAGAAUCGCCGGGAUGCCAAUACCAUCCUGGUUUGACGUUAUCUCCAGAGGAAGCUCCGGCUAACUCCGUGCCAGCAGCCGCGGUAAUA